This 208-nucleotide ribosomal RNA is filed under the name uncultured bacterium. RNAcentral describes it as "partial 16S ribosomal RNA". It matches the Rfam family "Bacterial small subunit ribosomal RNA", at positions 568 to 774 of the family's 1533-position model. The record is from RNAcentral.
UGCGUAGGCGGUCUGGUAAGUCAGAGGUGAAAGUUUGCAGCUUAACUGUAAAAUUGCCUUUGAUACUGUCAGACUUGAAACAGGUUGAGGUUGGCGGAAUGUGGCAUGUAGCGGUGAAAUGCAUAGAUAUGCCAUAGAACACCAAUUGCGAAGGCAGCCAGCUGGGCCUUGUUUGACGCUGAGGCACGAAAGCGGUGGGGAGCGAACA